GGGGUUGAAGCUCAGUGGUAGAGCACUUACCUAGCAUGUGUGAAAUACUGGGUUUGAUCCCCAGCACCA
This 69-nucleotide transfer RNA is filed under the name Ictidomys tridecemlineatus (thirteen-lined ground squirrel). RNAcentral's name for it is "Spermophilus tridecemlineatus (thirteen-lined ground squirrel) tRNA". It matches the Rfam family "tRNA". Rfam says of the family: Transfer RNA (tRNA) molecules are approximately 80 nucleotides in length. RNAcentral also lists the same sequence under 1 other name. Lineage: Eukaryota; Metazoa; Chordata; Mammalia; Rodentia; Sciuridae. The record is from Rfam by way of RNAcentral.